GCCUUGUUGUCUCUGACUGGAGCCUCUCUCUCCUGUGAGCCUGUGAGCCUGUGAGCCUGUAUUCCUGGUUGUGUCAGAACUCCUGGGGGAUCAAGUUGCAUCUUGGUGUUUGCAGAGUGGGUGAACAGCCAAAGCCCAGAGUCUGCUUCCAGGCACACAUCAAACCAGAAGAUACAUUUAUCUCUGGCUUACUGGCAGUUCUUGAGUUUGCUGUGUCCCGGGGGCAUAUACCCAAAAGAUAUUUCACCAUAUCACAAGGAAACAUGCUCCAGUAUGUUUAUAACAGUCUUAUGAUAGCCAGAAGGUAGAAACAACCAAGUCCCUCAACAGAAGAAUUGAUACAGAAAAAUGUGGUACAUUUACCCAGUGGAGUACUAUUCAGCUAUUAAAAACAACAACUUCAUGAAAUUCACAGGCAAAUGGAAGGAAUUAGAAAAUAUUCUCCUGAGUGAAGUAGCCCAGACACAAAAGAACACAUAUGAAAUGUUCCUGUAUAAAGAAAAGACAGAGAGAAAAAAGUGGACCAGAGACUGAAGGAAAGGCCAUCAAGAGAACACCCCACUCAGGGAUCCAUCCCAUCUGCUGACUCCAAACCCCUACACGAUUGCUGCUGCCAAGAAGCAUUUGCUGUGAGGAACCUGAUAUAGCUGUUCCCUGAGAGUUUCUACCAGCACCUGACCAAUACAGAUACAGAUACUAACAGCCAACCAACAGACUGAGCCAAGGGAACCCAAUGAAAGAGCUAGGGGA
Molecule: long non-coding RNA, 750 nt
Filed under: Rattus norvegicus (Norway rat)
Lineage: Eukaryota; Metazoa; Chordata; Mammalia; Rodentia; Muridae
Description: long non-coding RNA NONRATT024320
Source: RNAcentral